Molecule: long non-coding RNA, 577 nt
Organism: Sus scrofa (pig)
Lineage: Eukaryota; Metazoa; Chordata; Mammalia; Artiodactyla; Suidae
Source: RefSeq, a predicted model, not a curated record
UGUACAGGAUGUUUAUUAGGGAGUAUCCUUGGAAGGGAGGAGGAAGAGGAAAUGGGAUUGGACCCUGGGGGAGCUGAGCUGAGAUAUACACCCUCUGAUAACCUCAGCCAAACCUGCAGGGAGCUCCGAAGCUAAAAUGGACUGUCAGAGUGGUCCCCGCCGUUAGGUUGAAGUGGCCCAGCCUUUCUAAUUCAUUCCAUUAGUCAGUCGUCACUGGACCUCAGCCAGCAAGUGAAGGGCGUAGCCUGGGCCCGGUGGCUUUCUGCAGGAGCUGACAGGACCUCCUUCCCGGUGCCACUGGAGAAGAUUAAGAAGAAAAUAUACAGUGUAAAAUGUUGGCAUUACAGAAGGAGUUUUCUUUAAGUAAAGUCAGGCUUCCAUUCAACAGACUCAGUGAGCUGGAUAACAUUUAGAUAUUGGCUAGGCAUCUUGAUUCCUUUGUGAUGAUUCAAGUCAGAUCUCUGUCUACAAGACUUAGAGGUCAUCACUUGUAGAAGUCAGAUCCUUAAAUGAUGACUGUCAAAGCUUGGAACACCUGCUUCAACAUUCUUUUGGAAGAAGUGAUUUUUGGAAUUGG